Long non-coding RNA from Drosophila pseudoobscura, 1592 nucleotides. RefSeq lists it as uncharacterized. The record is from RefSeq and is a predicted model, not a curated record. Lineage: Eukaryota; Metazoa; Arthropoda; Insecta; Diptera; Drosophilidae. The transcript has 9 exons.
CGGCAUUCAAGUUAAGUAAUUUUUGUUUUUAUAUUUGUUGGCUUUUAUUGAAUAUAAUUAUUUUAUUUUCAAGUUGAUUCCCUGGAUGUUGCGUUGGGAUGUCUUCUGGCUGCUUGCUUAGUUGCUGACAUAUGUACAUUUGUUAUGUACUUACAGUUAAUUUCAUACACCAUAUGUGUUUUGUUUAUUUAAAUUUUUAUGUUUAUGUUUUAAAUUUUGUUUUGUUUUCAGGUUUGCUGCAGAUUUGGUUUUCAUUUUGUAGGUUUGGUGGCAAAUUGUCGGCAUUCCAGUUAAGUGAUUUUUUGUUUUUAUAUUUGUUGGCUUUUAAUGAAUAUAGUUAUUUUAUUUUCAAGUUGAUUCACUGGAUGUUGCGUUGGGAUGACUUCUGGCUGCUUACUUAGUUGCUGACAUACAUAUGUAAAUUUAUUAUGUACAUACAGCUAAUUUCGUACACCAAUAUGUGUUUUAUUUAUUUAAUUGGCAGGUUUUGUCUUCAGCUUUGUAAUAAUUUGUAUGUAAUUUUGUGUAGUUUAUGUUGUUAUAUUUGUUGGCUCUUUUUUUUUUUAGGACUUUGGUUGUUUUAGUUUCAGGUUUGCGGCAGAUUUGGUAAGUGUUUUAAAUUGUAUUUUGGCUGAAUUUAAUUUUGUUUUAUUUACAGGUUUGGUAAUAGAGUGUCAUCAAUCAAGUUAGGUAAUUUAUGUUGUUAUAUUUGUUGACUUUUAAUGAGUAUAGUGUUUUAUUUUCAGGUUUAAAGAAAAUUGGUGUGAAAAAGAAAAAGUGAUUUCAAUUGUUUUUACGCCAAUUGUAAUUUUAUUUUAUCUGCAGUUUUAUUUUUUGCUGGUUUGGUGGUAAGGUGUCACGUACAAUGGCUGUUGCGCUUGAUGUCUACAACUUGUUUGCGUAUUUACUGACAUUGAUUGUUAUGUAAAUAGUUAUUUUGUACGUAUGUAUGUAUGUAUGUAUGUAUGAUAGAUUUGGUGGUAAGGUGUCAGUAAUCAUGAUAAAUUUGGUGGUAAGGUGCCAGUAAUCAAGGACCAGCUUAGAAUUUGUCGACAAAGUUGGGUGAAUCCAUGUAUGACGUGAGGGUCCUUCGCCACAUUUUAAUGCAGAUUUAUUCCAAUGUAAAUGAUUUUUCAAGCGUGUCUCUUGGAAGGGCUGUUACUCCUGAUGUCUACAAAUUGUUUGAGUUUUUCUAUUUUCAGAUUCAUGAUAAAUUUGGUGGUAAGGUGCCAGUAAUCAAGGACCAGCUUAGAAUUUGUCGACAAGGUUGGGUGAAUCCAUGUAUGACGUGAGGGUCCUUCGCCACAUUUUAAUGCAGAUUUAUUCCAAUGUAAAUGGUUUUUCAAGCGUGUCUCUUGGAAGGGCUGUUACUCCUGAUGUCUACAAAUUGUUUGAGUUUUUCUAUUUUCAGAUUCAUGAUAAAUUUGGUGGUAAGGUGCCAGUAAUCAAGGACCAGCUUAGAAUUUGUCGACAAAGUUGGGUGAUUCCAUGUAUGACGUGAGGGUCCUUCGCCACAUUUUAAUGCAGAUUUAUUCCAAUGUAAAUGUUAUUUCAAGCGUGUAUCUUGCGAAGGCUGUUGCUCCUGAUGUCUA